AACGCACAUUGCGCCCGGGAGCAUUCUCCCGGGCAUGCCUGUUCGAGCGUCAUUUCAACCCUCGACCUCCCCUUGGAGAGGCCGGCCGUUGGAGAUCGGCAGCGAUUGCCGGCUCCCAAAUUCAGUGGCGACCCGCCGCGGGGACCCCUGCGCAGUAACAUACACUCGCACCGGAAACCAGACGUGUCACGCCGUAAAACCCCAACUUUCUAAACGUUGACCUCGGAUCAGGUAGGAAUACCCGCUGAACUUAA
RNAcentral lists this unclassified non-coding RNA (254 nucleotides) under uncultured fungus. Its description in RNAcentral is "partial contains 5.8S ribosomal RNA, internal transcribed spacer 2, and large subunit ribosomal RNA". The record is from RNAcentral. Lineage: Eukaryota; Fungi.